This is a long non-coding RNA of Mus musculus (house mouse), 1670 nucleotides long. RefSeq annotates it as predicted gene, 33770. The record is from RefSeq and is a predicted model, not a curated record. The transcript is spliced from 3 exons. NCBI's taxonomy places the organism in Eukaryota, Metazoa, Chordata, Mammalia, Rodentia, Muridae.
ACUGUAAGGGACACGGAGGCAAUUCAGUGCCACGGGUGGAAGGUACCGGGCUGGUGGAUGUAAGCCAGAUGUUCGGAGCGCUCCAGAUGUGUCACAGGGCGGGGGCAGGACUCUCCUCCCUAUCCCCAGCCCCCAACCUGGAGCUGAGCUCCUCUGCCACCAGAGACACCCCAGUCAGAGCCAUUCCAGGUGGCCUCUGUCUGCUUGGAGAAGCCAGUCGACAGCACCUAAACAUUUUCGUGAAUACUACUUCUGCCUGAUAUCAUCGGCGUCCAGUUGAAUGGAAGUGGAGAGCAAUUAGGAAUCACAAUAUGGACCUUGGAUUCCACUCUGACACUGCAGCUGACACCUGUAACCCUGGCACCUGGGGAGUCAGUCACCGGGAAGUAGAGGCUAGAGUGGGCUAUAGGGAGGAUUCCCGAUCUCAAGCCUGGAUGAACCUGGCAGAAACCCUCACUGACCUCCCCAGAAGGACACAGAGGCGUACUUUGACAAAGACCUGUCCAGGUUCAAAGGAUCAUGAGUCUGAGCAGAGUUCAGCUUAGCAUGCCCAGAGGCCAAACCUUCUAGACAAACUAAGUAGCCACAGUGUCACCAAAGCCUUCUGGGCCUGGGGCUCACACUGAUGUCUUCUGCUUACCCACUGUGGGACUCUAAAGAAGUAGUUCAACCACCACGACCUUUGCUUUUCAUCAUUUGCACAACAGGAAAACCAGCAAUCAGCUCCUUCUUACAGCUACUGAAAGACAAUCAAAUGGGAAGUGCGUGUGUGUUGCUAUAUAUGUGUGUGACCCACUGCGCACACACCCCAGACCUCUCCGGUGCCCCUGUCUCAGAGGCAGUCAUCGCUCUGCAAGUGAACCCACCGAGCCACAAGCCUGCAGGGAGGUUGUGCAAGAGACCUGCAAACCUGGUUCUGCCCACUGCCUGGGAGGGGCCUGUCCUCCUCCUCUUCAGGGCCACAGGGGAGGUGUUAUUAUUCUAUAGCACCCCAGGAUAGGGUGGGGAGAGGUUGCUUUCCUGGGUGCACAUAACAAAACACUGCCCGUCAUGUCUGCUGAGGCGUCACUUCUGAAAGGCCACUUUCAGCUCUCAUUGUUGGAUGGCCACGGUGGCUGCACAGGAGACAAUGUUUGUGUUUCUCAGGCCUCUGUCAGCUCCCGGAGACAAACUGGACCACAACUGGUGCACCUACAAGGAACUCCAGGCAGGAGACUUGAGCAGCAGAGACCUGGAGGGAGAGCUGUACCAUCUAUCCAUCAUUCUCUGAAGCCUCCCAGCCUUGGUCUCGCUCUUGUUCCUCCUUUGAGAACUGGCUGUGACAGCCCCAGGUAGAAACUCCAGCCAGAGACCUUUCCCCUCUGGUCUAUGUGUCAGUCCUGGAGAAGGGGCUGGCUGACUGCUUGGGUCAUGUGUUUGUCUGAGUGACAGUUGCUGAGAAGAUGCCAGGAAGGACCAGGAGCUCCUGUCACCAGGAGAGGACCAGGAAGCAGGGAGCCGCCAGGCACAUGUGUGGGUACAGUUUCUUCUGCCAUUGUGCCUCUACUUCCAUACUUUGAGUGAGAGCCAGUAUCUCUGUUGGGCCUAGCCUAAAGAUACUGAGUGGAGGCUCGAAGGUAGAGGGCUAAGGACUGAAGCCUAUGGAAUCAUGAGCAGAAAUAAAUCUCCCU